AUUGAACGCUGGCGGCAGGCCUAACACAUGCAAGUCGAGCGGAUGAAGUGAGCUUGCUCCUGGAUUCAGCGGCGGACGGGUGAGUAAUGCCUAGGAAUCUGCCUGGUAGUGGGGGAUAACGUCCGGAAACGGGCGCUAAUACCGCAUACGUCCUGAGGGAGAAAGUGGGGGAUCUUCGGACCUCACGCUAUCAGGUGAGCCUAGGUCGGAUUAGCUAGUUGGUGGGGUAAAGGCCUACCAAGGCGACGAUCCGUAACUGGUCUGAGAGGAUGAUCAGUCACACUGGAACUGAGACACGGUCCAGACUCCUACGGGAGGCAGCAGUGGGGAAUAUUGGACAAUGGGCGAAAGCCUGAUCCAGCCAUGCCGCGUGUGUGAAGAAGGUCUUCGGAUUGUAAAGCACUUUAAGUUGGGAGGAAGGGCAGUAAGUUAAUACCUUGCUGUUUUGACGUUACCAACAGAAUAAGCACCGGCUAACUUCGUG
Molecule: ribosomal RNA, 484 nt
Filed under: uncultured bacterium
Lineage: Bacteria
Description: partial 16S ribosomal RNA
Rfam family: Bacterial small subunit ribosomal RNA
Source: RNAcentral